UGAUCUAAAUCUUUUAGAUCAUGUUGAUGCGGCUAUCUUAAUGCCCUAACCCUAGGGGGUGACCCCCUGUAGCACCCACCAAGGGGUGACCCCUAGAAAGAAAGAGGAAGAGAUUGCAGAAGAGGGAAAGAGAGGAGAAUAGGGGUCUCUAUUUUUGUUAGGUGUUCUAGAUACAAGGGUAUAGUAGACUAGAGAAAAUCGUACCCAGUGUCUAGAAUAUGGGUACAUACUACCGUUGAUGUGCAAGUCUGUGGCUUAAAGCUACGUGAUCUAAAUCUUUUAGAUCAUGUUGAUGCGGCUAUCUUAAUGCCCUAACCCUAGGGGGUGACCCCCUGUAGCACCCACCAAGGGGUGACCCCUAGAAAGAAAGAGGAAGAGAUUGCAGAAGAGGGAAAGAGAGGAGAAUAGGGGUCUCUAUUUUUGUUAGGUGUUCUAGAUACAAGGGUAUAGUAGGAAAUUUAUUAGUCACAUUUUACUUAUUUGUUGACUUGAGGUUGAAUAUGAAGAUUAGCACGAGGGAGCAUGCAGAUUACAAUCAUGCUAGUUUUAAGAAAGUGAUUCCAGCUUGAGCAGUUUAGUAACCAAUCAUUUUGCUAUUCGAAUUUGUUCCAAACUGUGGAAUCAUCAAUCAUAGCAACCCAGAGUCACAUUCCCACUUCCCCUCGAGAUUCCUGUCAAUUAAACUUGAAACCCCUAUUCUUCCUCUCUCCCUCUCUUUCUCUCCUAUGAUCUCUCCUCCAAUCACGUUUUCGCUCCAUACUCAGACACCAUGGCUACCCCAAGCUACCGUAAGGCUUAAAGCUCUGAGCAGAAUAGAGUGGACAGAACAUUGCCUGAGGACAAGGUGAUGUACUAAAGGUGCUUUGGAGUAGACUAAGGCUGUGUUUGGAUCAAGGGUUAGGUGGAGGAAAAAGAAAAGGAAAUGAAAAAGUUUGAGGAUCCAAUUGUUCGGACCGUUAGAUUCUCUAACCUUUUCCCAUUCCUUUUUAUUUUCCCUACACCAAAUCCUUACACCAAACACAGCAUAAAAGGGUAAACUAUUCACUUGACUAAGAAACUUGAAUACAUUUCGAGAUUUCUUCUUGAAUUAAAAUCUGAAUUAUCCAAACACUUGAAUAGAAUUACGUAUUAGUUCCUGUGUUGGAUUUCUGGUAAUGAGAUAACCAUUCUCUUUCUCUCUCUCUCUCUCUCUCUCGAUCCCAUAGACUUAUGCUAACCAAUCAUUAACCUUCAAUAAACUUCAAUUCUUCCGAACAUCAACAAAAACAAAGAUGAAAC
Molecule: long non-coding RNA, 1278 nt
Filed under: Actinidia chinensis (golden kiwifruit)
Lineage: Eukaryota; Viridiplantae; Streptophyta; Magnoliopsida; Ericales; Actinidiaceae
Description: long non-coding RNA (ACHI_LNC002665)
Source: RNAcentral